GACGAACGCUGGCGGCGUGCUUAACACAUGCAAGUCGAACGGAAAGGCCCUGCUUUUGUGGGGUGCUCGAGUGGCGAACGGGUGAGUAACACGUGAGUAACCUGCCCUUGACUUUGGGAUAACUUCAGGAAACUGGGGCUAAUACCGGAUAGGAGCUCCCGCUGCAUGGUGGGGGUUGGAAGGUUUCGGCGGUUGGGGAUGGACUCGCGGCUUAUCAGCGUGUUGGUGGGGUAGUGGCUUACCAGGGCUUUGACGGGUAGCCGGCCUGAGAGGGUGACCGGCCACAGUGGGACUGAGAUACGGCCCAGACUCCUACGGGAGGCAGCAGUGGGGAAUAGUGCACGAUGGGCGGAAGCCUGAUGCAGCAACGCCGCGUGCGGGAUGACGGCCUUCGGGUUGUAAACCGCUUUCGCCUGUGACGAAGCGUGAGUGGCGGUAAUGGGUAAAGAAGCACCGGCUAACUAGGUG
This 468-nucleotide ribosomal RNA is filed under the name uncultured bacterium. RNAcentral describes it as "partial 16S ribosomal RNA". It matches the Rfam family "Bacterial small subunit ribosomal RNA", at positions 28 to 507 of the family's 1533-position model. The record is from RNAcentral.